CUGAGUAGGACUAGGAGCAGGAACCAUAGCAGUCGCUAAGGGUCCUUUUGUCUUUCCUAAUCAAGUGAUUACUCUGUAGAAAUCUCAGAGCACCAGGGAAGAUAUGCCUGAAGUCCGCUUGGGAGUGUGGAAGGCAGCUCCCAUUCGGGAGUCCGGCUGGAAAAGUAGGGUUUCUUAAGAGGGAAAAAAGAUGGGGUCCUGGGGACGCCUUACCAGAAGUUGACAACGCCCUCAGCAUAAUCGAAACUGCGGGAGCAGCACGUUUAUCACAGGCUCAGAGUCCGAGCCAGGCUCGGCCCCGCCCCUCGGCCCCGCCCCCUCCUUCUGAGCGGCGGCAUACGCUGCCGGAAGACGCUUCCGGCUUCCAGGACAAAUGCUGCUAUCACAAGGACCAAAACUAGUCCAGAUUGCUGUCUUGGGAGAAAGGAGACAACUCAGCUGCCAAUGAAAGCAUCUGCUGAAGCGCCCUGUCAACUUACAGGAAGAAUCCUUUCUGCAGAAUCCGGGCAGCAUAAGAGGCUGCUGUUCUUCUGUGGAAUACAGCUGUAAUUCCCCUGGGAGAGGACAGAAGUGAGUUAGGGUGACUUCUUUGUUCUUUUUUUUUUCCCCGGAGCUGGAGACCGAACCCAGGGCCUUGCGCUUGUUAGGCAAGUGCUCUACCACUGAGCCAAAUCCCCAACCCUGACUUCUUUGUUCUUGGUGCUCUAGUAAGAAUGCCAGCAUAGUCAGAAGCCAACCAAGAUCAACCUCCCUCCCCUCUCAGCAAGGAAAUAUGGGGACACUCACUCUGUGGGGACCUCUGCCUGCAAGGAGGGUUGUGGUCUGGAGCAGCAUCCAAGGUUAGGGAUCGGAUUACAGUCUCACACACAAAUUGGGUCCCACUCAGGUCUUCCUCCGUUUCUUCGACUGAAGCAGGGGUCUCGGCCUUUCUCUUUGUUAAUACAGUGGAAUCUGAAGGACACACAAAGCCCAUCUGCCCUUAGUGUCUGAAGAGUUGGGAGCUCUCACCAGUCAGUGCAUCCUAAGCCUGGGUGAGGGCAGAGCUGCUCCUGCUCUCAUGAGACUAGAGAGCAAGGGAUGCUAUGCGACAUCGAUUUGCUGAGGUAAAGGUAAUGAGGAAUGGACGUGUGAGGACAGGUGUGAGUGGAAAGGGAAAGUACGUGCUUUACAGACAUUUAACCCCUUACCAGGAGAUGCUUUCAAUCCCGCCCCUUCACUCUCUUCCUGUAUCCGCCCCAAGCCUGGCUUCUCUAUUAAAGGGCUGUCAUGCGGCAGAGGAGACAUGCGGGGAGUCACAUCUGGAGAGUGAAGACAGGAAACCAUCAACCGAGAGAGCAUGACAUCGUAACAGUCAAGUGUCCCAGAAGCAGCAUUCUGUAGGUUUCUUGCUUCCUACAGGGUUACAAUAAACCCAAAUAUGCUCCACCACCUGUCACAUCAUGAAGAGCUUCUCUAGAUCACCAGGAAUGCAACUAGCUCUGGCUGAUCAAAGCUGGGCCACAAACAAGGAACUAGCCUAGAAAGUCAAAGCCAAGAUACAAAACUAUGAGUAAAGGAACAAAGGGAGAAAAAUGAAGAAGUGGUCCCUUUACAGCAAGGCAGCCCUGCACACACUUGUACUGUGGUACUGACAGACAACAGGGAGAGGAGGAGAUGGACCAUGGGUAUAACUUCACUGUCACACACAGCAUGGGAGGAAUCCUCGCCCUCUAGGGCCACAGACCGUAAUGCCAACACCUAAACAAGAUGAGCGAAGUAACAGUCUUACCCACAGGGGUGUUGUGUGGCACUCUCUCCAAUUCUUGAACAAUGUUUAUAUCCAGCAGUUCAAAGGACAGCAGGUCCUAGAAAAAGAGAUGGUCAAACACAAGCAUUUGCAGAACAAGUGGGAGCCAUGUUCUUUUAUGACUGGACCUUCAGGUUUCCUGCAUAUUGCCUGGAUUCAAUUGUUCAAAUUCAUGUCCCCCCUCAACCAAGUGAUUAGAAGACUUAAAGGGAAUUUGGUGUCUCAAACUCUAACUGGCAGGGGGAGAGGAAACUUGGGCGGGCAAGUGAAGUGGGCUAAGAUUCUGAGACCACUGGAGGGAAGCUGUGGGGAAGCACAAGCCUGGCUUCAAGCUCAGGAGAAAACAGUUUAGAAACUUGCUCCAUGCCUCACUGGAUGCUAAAUCCAGUCUGCCCAUCUGUAACUCCCCAGAACCAUGAUGGCUGUGCCACCUUCUCAAUAACAAGGUGCAAGCUCUUUCCUCAGUACUCCUCUUUCUGCCCUUGUCCCUCAAAACGGUGUUUACCUGGGCAGUCAGAAGGUCCACGGAUGGAAUGUAGAGCUCCCUCUCACUGGCAGCAUGUUGUGUCUUCUGUGGGGCACUGGAUCCUGUCCCUUCUGUCUGCUUUGUCACCUCACCCAAUGGAAUCUCUUCUUCAGCUAGAAGAAAAGCUUCCUAUAGGGACAAAUAAUUGGGACAUAUUUUAGGACCUCAACAAAGCUCAAGCACCAGGCUGAUAAGGUCAUCCCUAAAAUAAAAACGCAGCAGAACCUUUACAUUAACAUUUUUUAUUUAAUUUAGGACUUCUAGAAAAGCUGCAGAAACAGUGAAGAGUUCAGACACUGUUCCUUCACCUGCCAUCCUCUACAACUUGAUAAAAGUACAGUUAGCCCAAACCAGGAAAUUAACACUGGUUAGCUCUAAGUUCAAACAGUAGAGUCUGCUCCACUAACAAGAAAGUGACAAUGGACUGCAGCAAGCAAGUAGGUGACAAUGUCCUUAGAGCUCAGGGAUACUCUAUAGGAGGUGAGUGUGAAGGAGAAAAGCUACCAGGAGUUUACCAGAAGCCCAGGCUGCCUUUCUUUUCCUGGUGCAGUAAGCACCAUCACAUACAAAAGCCCUCUGGGACGGCCUAAGCACCCUAAGGAUUGUAAACACCUUGAGGAUUAGGCCAAACACCAGCAUAAAAAUGUAUUGUAGGGAGAAGUAUCCCCAGAAUCUGGUAUGUUAAAAGCCUGACCCCUAGAGCCUGCGUUGGUAGUGCAUGGCUUUAAUCCCUGUACUUGGAAGGCAGAAGCAAGUAGAUUUCCGUGAGUUUGAGACCUGGUCAACAGACUAAGUCCUGGUCAACUACACAGAGAAACCUUGUCUCGAAAAACCAAGAAGAAAGAAAGGAAAGAAAAGGCUUAGCUUCCCUAGAAGCAAAGCAUUAGUAGACAAUCUUUCUGAGGUGUAUCCUUACAUGAGAGCCUUAGGUCUGGUCCCUUCCUCUUUUUCUUGUCAUCUUGGGCCUGAGUAGCGUUUUUUGGUUUUGUUUUGUUUUUUUGCUGUGCUGUAUGUUCUGUCAGUACAUCCCAAUACCCCGACUAGGGGCCUGAAAGCACUGGAGGUGCCUAAUCAGACAGGAAUCUCUGAAAUUGAGACCCAAACGGCCCUAUCUCUUUAGAAGUUAACUAUACAGUAUUCUGUCACAGUGAUGGGAAUUCAGAAACAGUAAACUGUCAGGAAAUCUGCAAGAAUAACAAGCUACCAGUGAGUUCUUUUACAUUCCGGUCCCUCUCUUGGUCCCUAGGAAGAGCUAGCCUUGAACCUGCAAUAUUCUUGCUUCAGCCUCCUGCAAGCAUGGACUCCAGGCAUGUGCCACAGCUCGACGUUCCUAAUGACUGAGGAAAUAAUGUGGUAGACCGGGCCAACAGCUCAGUGCUCACCUCUUGCUCACAGGUGAAGUCAUCAGCUUUGCUUGAGCUAAUCCCAUCCCUUUCAAGGUUAACAGGGCUCUCAGAGGAAGGAAAAGGAUCCACUAUGAUACUGCACCAGACCCGAGGCCCAAACUGCUGGCCUUUGUGAGAGAGACGCCAAUGCGAAGUGUAUGUCCCCUCCAAGGUUGGGGCGAUGAACUCCACAGACACCACCCCGAUGUGUCCAGCCUUCAAGCAGGGAACCAAAACAUCCUUCUUCUCUGUAGAAGCCAGAGUCAAGUUUCCCCACAUGAACUUGAGCUGAAAGAACAGGAAGAAGCUUGUCAGCUGUGCUUUCUGCUCCUGCCUAUCCCCGUUUUUACAUUUGGGGACGUACCUUUGUGUCUGCGCUCCACUUCACAUUCCCUGUGUUUUUCAUCCUCCAGUGUUUGAUAAACUUGGUUCCUGGCUGAAGAUGAGUCCCAUCAGGCAAAUUCUCAUCCACGAAUGCUGCACUGAGUGUUGGCAUAACUGGGGCACAGGGCUGCAAAGGAAGCCUGGACAGAGAUGCAGACGGUUAGUCACUUGCGACUGGUGUGAUGGCCUCUGAACGUGUCACACUGUGACUCCAGAUAAGCGGAUACUAAUACACUUGACUUAACUACUAACACUAUUUAGGCUGAGCCUGUGAGAAGGCUCAGCAGGAAAAGGUGCUUGCCGUGCAAGCCCAGAGACCUGAGAUCAAUCCCCAGAAUGCAUAAAGGCCGAAGAAAGAGACCUGACUCCAUCAGCACGCAUGUCAAGGACACAGGCCCUGACGCAUUCUCGCGCACACGCACACACACACACUCAAAUUCCAUAAAACAAAGGCCAUAAAACAAAGAUAUGCUGCCUAAGGUUAAUUAUAAGUGUCCAUAAAUAUAGGGUAACUGCAAGUGUUCAUAAAUACAACUGGAGAUUUGCUCCUUGGUUCCAACCCUGCCAGACUGCCUCCAGAAAAGAGAAGUCUGAAUUAUCCCUGUUCUAAGCCUUAUUAGUUUCUUGCUUUCUGAAUGAGGCAUCAAAGCUGAGGGUCAAAAAUAACCCCUGAGGGGCUGGAGAGCUGGCUCAGUGGUUAAGAGCACUGACUGCUCUUCCAGAGGUCCUGAGUUCAAAAUCCGGCAACCACAUGGUGGCUCACAACCAUCUGUAAUGCGAUCUGAUGCCCUCUUCUGGUUUCUGAAGACAGCUACAGUGUACUUAUAUAUAAUAAAUAAAUAAAUCUUUAAAAAAAAAAACAUCCUGAACCAGCCCGGAAGACAAUGGGAAGCUUAAAACAGGUGGGUGCUCGGAGACACAGCAGGGAAAGCAAGGGCAGCUAAAAUCCCUGUUUCAGAGAGCUGGACCGGAGGCCACAUCCCUGCCUUGGCCCUGGACUUACAUGAGGGUGUUAGACUGCAGCAAGCUCUCAGGUCGACCCAAAGGCGACUUGGGACUCUGGAGUCCAUGGAUUGAAUUCCACAAAUGAAUCUUCCGGUGGAGUUUCAGCUGCUUUUUAAGCUCUUUGACCUCUGCCUUCCGCUGUUUCUUCUCAGCCCGCAACCUUUGCUUUUCUGCUUUCACAAAAUUCUUAUCCACCUGCUUUUGGAGCCUGUGGGAUAACGAAUGAAUGCCUUAAAACACAGAAAGCCUGAGGCAGGCUGGACUGAAUGCACGUCAUCAACGUUAGCAUCUAGUCUCUUAAUUUACUCAUCAUUUCCAUUUGACGAGUCUCAGACAACUGUUUCAUUAUCACACAUCAAUUGAGAAGGAGCAAAAAUACAGAGACUAUUAAUAAUUUUGUGAUACUAUAUACUACCACUGCACUUUUCUUUUGUUAUGAGACUAUCUUGCUAUGUAGCUUAGCCUGGCCUAACACUCAGGACGGUUCUGAGUGCUGGGCAUUACAUCUGAUUUUUUUCUCACCUGAGACAAGGUUUCUCUGUGUGCAGCUCUGGCUGUCCUGGAACUCACUCUGUAACAGGUUGGCCUUGAACUCACAGAGAGAUCUACCUGCCUCUGUCUUAUGAGUGCUGGGAUUAAAGGCAGCUGGCCAGAUUUUUAAAAGAUUUAUUUACUUUUAAUUCAUGUGUAUUAGUGUUUGCUUGAAUAUGUAUGUGCACCACAUUGUGUCUGAUGCCCACAAAGGCAGAAAUGUGUGUCAGAUCCCUUGGAACUGGAAUUACGGAUUGUUGUGAGUUGCUAAAGUGGAUGUUGGGAAGUGAGCCAGGGUCUUUGGCAAAAGCAGCCAGUGCUCUUACCUCUUACCAUGAGAUAUCUCUUCAGCCCACUCAAAUAUUUUCAUCAUCAGUACUUUGUGUCAACAGAGUCAAGAAGCCAAAUGGGGGGCUGGGGAUUUAGCUCAGUGGUAGAGCGCUUACCUAGGAAGCGCAAGGCCCUGGGUUCGGUCCCCAGCUCCAAAAAAAAGAACCAAAAAAAAAAAAAAAAAAAAAAGAAGCCAAAUGGAUGAGCAGCCACAAAUAUGGCUUUACCUGACUUGUUCCAAAGCAGCAGGCAGACGAGGAGUGGGAUACUUUGAGUAGAAAAAUGGCUCAGAGGAAAUCACAACAGGUCUCCGAAAUUUUAGCAAAAUGUGGUUAGUGUCAUGGGAGUAAGGUCCAGCUUCACAAUCUUCACAAAUGUUGUAGGAUGGGCAGAGGCUGUAUGAAAAGACCAACAUAGUAAAAAUUUCGCAGCAGGAAGUCCCUGAAGUAGAGAGGAACAACCCAGAUUAAGCUUUCAUUUGCUCCAUUACCAGCUGGGUGGAGACUUUUAAUUGCCUCUAGGCGAUGCUGAGGCCUAAGUUCCUCAUUAGUAAAAUGAGAAGAUAACUCCCACUCACACCUAUUCCAUGAAAGUUUGUGGAAAGAAGUAAGAUACAAGAACAUUUUGAACUUGAACAAGGGGGUCUAUCCUUAGUGACCUAAUUUGGCCUGAUGCUGAUAAUCCAAAUGUGUAUCUGAAUGGCACUCUGAAUAGUUCCAAGACCACAAAGGAUGUAAAUGAGGAGUGGCUUGUGCUUCUAAAUCAAAGCCACACUGCCUAAGGCUGGAGAAAGAAGACUCACAGCUUCCCCUAAACUUCCCAGAAUGCCAGUCGGCCACCGCUUCUGCCCAGGAACUGCUUACCUACACUGGUAGCGCACACCGACGAUCCUCUUUUGGCAGUGGCUACAAGCAAUAUGCCAGCUGAACUGGUUCUCUGGCAAAAACAGGGUUUCCUCCUCUGAAAUAGGCAUUGAGACUUCUGAGGGUGAGGAACUGAAGGGUGGCUUCUGGAGGACAAGCUUCUCCUGCAACCUCUGUUCAAGCUUCUCCACCGUUUCCUUCACCACUUGUUCUCUGAACUACAAUGUAGAACAGAAGGUAGGGGAAACUCAGUUCCAGCACCAGGAAGAGUGAGAAGAAAUGGACCUUCCCUGUCUCUGGGUGCACGUUAAGGACAUGGCUAAUGGCUACUGGAGGAAGGCACAGCAAUGUAAUUAACAGGUCUCAUCCUCAUGAAGUGACUCUUUCCUCCUUGGGAUGAUUCUGUGAACUUGUCCUUUUCAAGGACAGAGAUCUGUCUGUCCCCUCACAAACUUAGAACUGGGUGGUCUCUUUUUAUGACGCUUCAGGCAGAGGUUAGAACUUCCUUCACCAGAUCUGCUCUAUGUCUGGAAGUCACAGCUGCCACUCCCCUGCAUCAGAGGCUGCAGUCAUCUGGGUUCAGCUUUCUACCUGUGCCAACGGUGCUGCUAAAACUCAGGUCAGAGAGGACACUCACCAUCUCCAGGUAGCUUGUAAACCAGUCUGGGGGCUUGUCUUGAGGCUUGUCGGUGUCACAAGGAACAGGUGAACGUGCCUGGGAGAAAAUACAAAAGAAGUUACUUUUUCUAAAUUUUUCUAAAAUGUAUUAUUUCUUUACCAAAUGUCAAAAGCAUGUAACACACAAAUUUUUGAGAAAGAAUACAGAAGAAAAUCAAAAUGUGUAUUCUAGUUUCUUUCCUUUCUCUAGAAGUAAAUCAAGGUUGCUAGUUUCAAAAAUUCAGAUCCAGAUGGUCACCUUAAUACCCAAGUUGUUGUGUACAUGAGUAUGCAGUGUGUGCAUGUGGAGGCAGUGUGUGCAUGUGGAGGCAGUGUGUGCAUGUGGAGGCAGUGUGUGCAUGUGCAGCUUGGCUGUUAUCCCUUAGGUACUUUUUUUUUUAAACUUUUUGAGGCAGACUCAACUCAGUGGCCUGGAAACAGUCAACUAGGCUAUGCUGGCUGUCCUGUAAGUCCCAAGGAUUCUCCUGUCUCUGCUUCUUCAGUCCUGAGAUUACACAUAGGUAUGACGCAUGGCUUUUAUGUGAGUCUGGGCACAUAUGUGGCAAUCGGAGGACAGCACUGGGCGUUGGUUCUCACCGUCCACCUGUGGGAACUAGAGCCCGUCUAUUGUUCAUUACUGCCAUGCCAAGGUGGCUAGCCGGUCACCUUUCAGAGAUUCUCCUGUCCUUGCUUUCCAUCUUGCCAUAGGAGCACUUAGACACAUCAGGGUUACAACAUGACACUAUGCCUGUGAACUGGGGGGAUUUGAACUCGUGUACAUGCUGGCAAACCAACUCUUUACCCAGUAAGUCAUCUUUCCAGCUCUUUGGAGAUCACACUCAGGGUCUUGUGCUUUCAAGCUAUUUCCCCAGCCUCCUUGCCCAAAUCUUUGAUGACUAUUCAAAUGUUAUAUAAGACAAUGAGAUGUAAGGUUAGACUUGGACGGAUAGGCCCAUCCUCUCGUACCUCUGCUGUAGGCUCCUCUGUGGUCUUCAUAUCUGAUCCCAAGACUCUUACCAGCGAAGAGUAAUGUGCGAGUGGCUUCUUCCCUGUCCUGGCAGUUGCUUGUUUUUCUACUACAGUUUGGGGGAGCACUUCAUCUACAACAUGGCACCCUUCGUGGACUUGCAUCUGUAGUUGAUUUCCUUGCUUAAUGUUAGCCAUCUAAAAGUGUUACAAGAGCAUGUCACAAAAUGAAAACACAUCAUGGUUCUCUUUUUCCAAAUGAAAUGUCAAAGCGCUGGAAUGCAGAAGUAUGGUGAACUGUGCUGUAAUUUUUGUUUGCAUUUCUAAGUGAAGAGGCUGAACACCUUAAUUAAACUUAUUAACUCUUGAGGUGUUGACAUGAUGCCACACAUGGAAAAUUAGCACCUAGCAUUUUAUGAUCAGUAGUAACAAAAUACUGUAUACUAAGAAUACUCUAGAAAAUUACCUUUAGGCUAUAAAAAGUAUAUAUGAGACAAACAAAUUUCAAAUUUAGCUUUGGGACCCAUUUCUAAGAUAUCUCAUUAUAAAAGUACAAAUAUCCCAAAAUCAAGUUUAAAAAAUAUGAAGCAUAUCUUAUUCCAAGCAUUUUAGAUAAGGAUAGUCAACCUCUAUUAAUAUCUCGCCUGAUGCUUGUCAAGAAUAUCAACUACAAAUGGCUUUAUUAAGUUAACAUUUGAAGAAAUUGUUAGGUGAGAUUUUGCCAUCUACUGGUUCUUCUUUAAUUACUGUUUGCGUAGUUUGACCUUGUGUCUGCCUGGGUUGCCCUGGCUGGCAUAAAGCUUGAGAUCUUCCUCUGAGGUACUCCAAGUACAGGUGUGCAGUACCUGUUAACUGCUUGUUCUGUAAGGCAUUAACUCUAAUCUCAGCUUUCUAAAAGACGAAAUUACUUCCAGACUGGUACUAAUCAUGGAGACUUAAAGCUGUUCCCUAUAGCUGAGCACUUACUUUUCUCCUAACCCAGUAUUUUAGAAAGCAAGCUUAAGUCAUUGUAUCUUUGUGAAGAACGUCUUCCUAAUAAAGUAUUAUGGAAACCCCAAGAAGCUGUUUGGUUUUCAUCAAGUUAUAUAAACGUUUAAGAAAAAUUAGGGACUGAAUAGCUAAGAGUCUAGCCCCCUGUGUCCCAAAACUGUUUUCCCUUUACCCAUCUUUAUGCAAUAGUCUUAAGAUUCCUAUUAGGAUGGGAUAUUGAGCACUUGUUUAGCACGCACCAGGGCCUGAGUUAGAGCAGCAUUGCAAGAAAGGAAAAAAAAAUCACCUAAAAUUUCCUGUACAAAUAUAUUUUAUUUGAAACUGGGUUUUGUUCUGCUGCCCAAGUUAUCCCUAAACUAGGCUUAAAUAAUCCUCCUGCCACCUCCUUUUUUUUUUUUUUUUUUUUUUGGUUUUGAGACACGAUCUUGCUACACAGCCUAACUGGUCUUUGAACUCGAUGUCCAGGCACCUUGGCCUCCAGAGUGCUGGGAUCACAGAAGCGUGCCCCAUGCUCAGGGCUGCUGCUGGUUCUCUUCUUCAUGUCUGAGUGCUGUCUGCCAGAGGAGGGCAUCAGAUCCCAUUGCAGAUGGUUGUGAGCCACCAUGUGGUGAUUGCUGGGAAUUGAACUCAGGACCUGGAAGAAUAGCUAGUACUCUUAACGCCUGAGCUAUCUCUCCAUUCCCUUGGGCUUCUUUUUAAGAUGGUGGCACUAAGGCCGGCAAUGAUUAGAAGUGCCUGCUGCUGAGUCCCUGCCCUACUUAACAGACGUCCUAGCAAUAGGUGUCAUUCUGCUUAUUCUUAGUACUUUCCAGGGGAGUUUAGGUUUUAAUAAGUAUCUUUCAAAUACUUGAAAAUAAUACGAAGUAAACAUUACCUUAAGUGCUUCUUCAUAUUCUCCUAAAGGGACAAAAACAAAACAGUGGGAUUUUUGGUUUUUGUUUUUGAUCAGUUUUACAAUUACACUGAAUAUCAUCUACCCUACAAUUUUUUGCUUUUUUGGGGGUGGGAGAGUCUAGCUAUGUAGCUUAGGCUGACAUCAAACUUACAAUCCUUUGUGUGUUGGGAUUACAGAAGGGUCAGGCUAAUUCUAUAGUUCCAGUGUAAAGCAUAGAGACUAUCAAAUUCUUAGAAUCUUCAUAUAUAGACUCCCUUCUUAUUAUAUGGUGCUCUUCCUUCUGGUCAUAACAAGAUUUCAUCCCUGGCCUCUUCCCCUAUAGCUAUGACAAACCAGAGCACAGCAAUAUAGUGGUAGCCAGGACUCUGGCAAUGGAGCUAUGGUUACUCCACUGAGGUGUCAGGAGACCCUUGCCUGAGAUUCCAUUCCUUUCCCUAGCUGCAAGAGGUCUGAGAGAUGAUAGCCUAUUUACAGAAGUGAAGGACGGCUAAAAGCAGGUCUCCAUGAUGCAGUAAGAUGGCAAACCAUGACGGGGUGGGGCCUUGCAGUGAUCUACCUGUUUGGGGGCCUCCCAAACUCCUGUACACAACUCUGCUCUGCAAGGAAGUGCAACAGACUCACGGCUUCCACCGGGCUGGCUUUGGGGAGAUUAUACUUUGAUCUCUUGUUGGCGCCCACCUGGUGUGGUGUCUCCUCUGAAGUUCUUGCAACAAGAUCCAGAGCUGAGAGCAGCUAAUACAAAGAAUCUUCCUCUUCAGUCCCUCUGUGCUGCUCUAGCCUUUGAAGUAAAAAAUAUCAACCCAAACCCCCUAACUACACUUUGUGAAGCCCAAGAUUCAGUUAAGCUCCUGGACUAUGUGAAGACUAUCAUUUUACCUGGUUCACAUAAGGUUGUAGGGACGACAAUAUGGACUACAACCAAGUAUCUGACAAACAGGGACAUGACUUGUCUAAGCAUUGAUAGUCACACAUACGCCAGGUCAAAAGCCUGCAGCACCAGCAGAAUGAGUUGUGUGUGACAACUAGAUGUGAACCACUUUCAGAAGAUCGGCAUCCUAAGUAUCAUGUUGGCUAAGACCUGCCCUUAUGAUCCAUACACAUGUACUGUCUUCUAUUAAAAACACUGGCAUACAAUAAAAGUCCCCUGUGAGGCUGGGGACGUAGCUGAACUGGUAGGGUGCUUGCCUAGAAAGCACCAGGCACUAAGUCUGAUUCUCAGUAUUGCAUACAGUGGGGUGGAGGCCCAAGCCUGUAAUCCAGUACCCAGAAGGUGGAGGCAGAAGAAUCAUGUUGUUCAAGGUUAUCUUAGGAGUAGAAGUAAGCCAGAGAUACCCUGAGAUAACCUGAGAGUCUGCCGCAAGAAGAAAAAAGAAUCUCCUAUAAAACUAAAGCCACAGGUGACCGGGUACAACAUCGGUUUACAUUAUACCAAAUUCUACUCUAAAAUGUGUGCUAGGGAAAAACAGGAUUUAGAUGGAAACACCUCAAUGGGCAGAGUAAUUUGUUUUGAAACAGGGUUUCACUACGUAGUCCAGAUUGCCUUUAAACCAAGGAUCCUCCUGCCUCAGCCUCCUCAGUACUGGACUUAAAGAUAAAUAUUGCCAUGUGAGGCAAAUUUUAAGUAAAGCUAACAGGAUUUUUCUCAGGAACUUACCUUGACUAUUGAUGGAUAUCUAUGAAGAGAAAAAAGCAACAGUGAAUUCUGAGUCUCAUCACCGGAGCAUUUUGUUAACUAGGACCAGUCAGUCUCAUGGCAAACUCCCAGGUCAGGUGGUCAGCAUUCCUACUACUGCUUAAAUAGCGUGCUCUGUUUUAUCUCAGUGGCAUUAACACGUAGCAUAACGUAGGCCUAGGAGCAUGGAUCUGGGGCCCCUACUUCAUUACUUUUGUGCCUUUGGGCAGGAUUCCUGCCCUCAGAGCUUCUGCUUCCUUAUGGCAAAGUGAAGACGACGUGGUACCUGACGACAGUAGUGCUAGUCUAAUGCACUCAGACCACUUCCUAAAGCUUCAUCAUCAUCAACUAAAUGACGGCCUAGCUAUAGUUAGGUUCUUCCUCUGAUAUCCUUCAUGUUACUUUCCCAUUUCUCAACUCCAGUUCAGAUGCCAAGAGUUUUUGUUGUUGUUGCUGUUUUGAGACAGGGUUUCUCUGGCUGUCCUAGAACUCGCUCUGUAGACCAGGCUGGCCUCAGAGAUCCGUGUGUCUCUGUCUCCCCACCCACAGUCUUCAUGAAGUACGCAACUAUCAAACACAUUUAAACUAUGAGGCAAGUGCGAUAAAACUAUUAUGAGCUUUUUCUUUCUUUUGUUCCCCCUGCCUCUAUGGCUCUCUGAGACAGUUUUUUGUUCUAAAGUCCAAGUUGGCUUAAACUUCCCAAGUACUGGAAAGACAGGUGUGAGCCAUUAAACUGGGCUUUAUUCUGAACUUUUAAGCUCCAUACCACUCUGGAAAGAUCCCUGUUCUACAUAUCUAAUAACGGGUUCACAGAUACUUUACCUCCUCAUUUUCCUCAUCCAGGUAUUUUAUUUGGAUAGUAUUCAGAUCAAAUGAAACUUUUACCUGUAAAUCAAACAAUUGGUUCAGUGUAUCUCACUAUAUAAGAUUAAACAUUUUAACUUUAUUUUAUUGAUUAUGAACUUUCCAAACAUUAACAUGUAUUAGCGGUAAUGGUGGAGCUGGGAAGAAUGCUGCCUAAGCCAAGAGUAGUGUGGUAGAACUUGUGGACCUUUCCAAGACCACAGCUCUUGCAGCCUGCAGAUAGCAGCCCAUGAAUCUCCAACUUACAUAUCGCGGCAAAGCCUCCUGAACCCAGAGCUCACCAAUUUGGCUAGUCUAGUUAGCAAAUUUGCUUCCAGGAUGCCCUUUAUGGGCUUCCUAAGUAACAACGUUACAUUUGUAUGGGUGGUGGGAAUCCAAAUGCUGGUGCUCACAUCUUUAUGGCAAGGGCUUAGCCCAAGGAGCCCUCUCCCUGGCCCUUAUGUUCACUCUUCUGUGAUGCUGGGGAUUCAAUGCGGAGCUUUGUGGAUGCUAACUGAGCCCUUCACUAAGGUACACACACCUUAAAGUAGUUUUAAAAAACAACUACAAGCAGACUAAAACAUCUGCAAGUGGUAAUAGAUACAGGGGUAAUACUUCUAACACACACACAAAAUCACGAAAACGGACAGUAGGAGGAGUAAUCCAGUGGCCCAAUGCAGGACACAGAGGCAGGUGGAUGUCUGUGUUUUUUAGGCCAGCCUGGUCUACAUAAGAAGUUCCAGAACAGAGAGAUUUACAAAAAAAAAAAAAAAAAAAAAAAAAAAAAACCACCAAAAAUUUUAACAGAUUAACUUAAGUAAAUACGUGUACAGAAUUUACAAGAGGAAAUAGAAUGCCUAAUAUAAAAACAUAUUCAAACUAACCACUGCCAAACAAUGUAAACAAAGAAAUAUGUGAUAUAUUAGGGUGGUAAACAAAAAAAAUUUUUUUUUUGAGACAUGGUUGUUUCUCUGUUUAACAGCUCUGGCUGUCCUGGAACUCAGAGACCCACCUGUCUUUGCCUCCCAAGUACUGGGACUAGAGGUGUACACUACUACUUGGUGUGAACAUUUUUGAAGCUGUAAUGUUCAGUGUUGUCAAAGAUUUAGGGCAAGGAAUGAAGCUCAGCGGCAGAACACUUCUCUAGCAUGUGGAAGGCCCAACGUUUGACCUCCAGAACCACAAAAUAAAAAAACAAAAAACAAAAAAACAAAAAAAACCCAAACAACCUUCAAGGCUGUAAGUCAUUUUUCUGUUCACCGUUAUAAUCAUUCUGUGAAACAGUCGGCAGCUACCUAUUAAAGUGUUUUUGAUUUUAUGUGUUUGGGUGUUUUGCCUACGCAUCACAGGAACGCCUGCUGCCUGCACAGGAAAGAAGAAGAUGGCUGAGGUUCUGGGCUCGUGAGCUGCCACAUGGAUGCUAGAAAUCAAACUGGUCCUCUGGAAGAGCUGCCCCUGUUCUUAACCCCAACCCCUAUCUAUCACAAUUUAAAAUCAGGCUAAUGAAAUGGCUUAAGUAGUAAAGUGCUUGUUGUACACAAGCCUACUAACCUGAGGUUGAGCCUCAGAACUCACAUAAAGGUGGAAGGAACACCCCCCCAACCACCACACACCCCACACCAAUUUUUUAAAGUUCAUCACCUUUGGAUAAAGUCUACUCUAUAGAACCAAUGUAAGUUAUCCAUACUGAGCUAUCGGUCCUGUCUACUUUAUAAUGAGAAAAGAAAGAAAACCUGGGUGGGGAAAUCAGUAAGUAAUGGUUACAUCCACAGUGUUCAGCAAUACUAACACCACCGGGGACUCAGAGCUUUCAAAGACUGAGCUUUGCUGUGUGUACUGAUGAGGAACUAUUUACUGCUGGGCAAGGACAGCAAGAUGCAGAACACUGUUUCUGUAUGACCAGAUAACUGCACAGACGAGGAACUGUGUGUGGGUAAGUUCCUCGGGCUGUUUUCUCUGCUUACUUAAAGGAGAAGUAAACAGCACAUGCAGGAUAGGAGUUUGUGGACAGAUAUUCUCUCCUUACAUGUUAAGACUCUUUCAUGCCUUAUAAUGGGCAUGUAAUACACUUUUAUAAUUUAAAAAUUUCCAACAGAAGAAAAGGGCAGGCUGUCCGCUCACCCAACUGCUACAGAAAGGAAGGUAUCUGCUGCUCACAUCAUUUAACAAGUGCACUGCUUGCUCAACAGCCACCUGCCUGGGGCAGCAUGGAGAGAAAUUGCUGGAAGGCAGGGAACUCGACUGUAACAUACUGGUUCUUCUCUAAAAUUUCCUUCCUCCUAAAGCUACCCACAUAGAUUACCAGGUAAAAACAUAUUUGUAACCAAAAAUGGUUACAUUAAACACAGAUGUCCAAGUAGUAAAACAUUGACCAUGGCAGGCCCACAAAACUGGAAGAGUACAAAGGGCAAACCAAGAUGAAAAAAACUAUUACCAAAUCAAGGAACAGAGACGCUGCUGCGUGAGCACCCGAGGGAGUUUUUGCUUUUUGCCAGUUCCGAGACAGCCAACCUUUGACCCAGCAAUAAAGCAACUGGCAGGUCUUGCAAAACACAAGUUACAUCCUCGUCAGGUAACAAGCAGCAGCAGCAGUCUCCUCUCCAGCCAGACAACACCCCCACGGCCUCGCUGUUGGGGAGGACAGCCAAAUUUAUCCCUCAGAAUGUUCCGAACCUUAAUUCACUGAAAAUAUAAUUUUACGUCAUACAGUAGAGAGAACCAACUCCCAAAACUGUCCCAGACUUUUGCUCUCACAAAAAAAAUUUAUAUAUAUAUUUCUAUGUAUAUAUAUAUAUAUAUAUAAACUUUUAAAGAUGUUUAAAGGAACAUAGUUGUUUCUUCCCUUUGUCCUGGCACAUAUCCUCUACACAUACUGAAUCCCUGUAAAAAACAAUUUUCCAAGGUCCAGAAAUGCAUGAAAUAAAUUGCUCAAAAUAGCUAUAUUUUGAAAAAAUAUCUGUUUAAACCAUUGAGAAACAGAACAAAGUGGU
Long non-coding RNA from Rattus norvegicus (Norway rat), 15823 nucleotides. RefSeq lists it as uncharacterized. NCBI's taxonomy places the organism in Eukaryota, Metazoa, Chordata, Mammalia, Rodentia, Muridae. The record is from RefSeq and is a predicted model, not a curated record.